UUUAAGGCGAAGUGUACGUAAUUAAACUACACAAUGGAUUUUUAAAAAAUUUUACAUGUAGAUUUUUCUUGUAAAAAUAAAUCGGAAAAUAAAAUAAAAAAAGGGGGUAACCGUUUUCGUUUUUGAGAUACGAGCUGUUGAAGUUAACAGCAUCAUACACCAAAAUUACAAAGGAUAUAUAGGGAAAAUCGUGAAAUUCGGCAGGAAUUGUUACAUUUCCAAGAUUUUCUAUUAUAUUAGACAAUCGAUUUUUUUUUAAAUUUAUGAGACGAUUCUAAAAUGUCUGAGGAAUCGAUUGGUGCAAAGAAAGUCCUAAGCAACCGUGCUACUUUUCAAGCUAUACCCUGUUAAAGUUGAAUCUUGAGUGUAAAAAAACAAAAAACAGCGACAACGUUAUUGACGUCGCCGCAACAGUUACGACGCUUCAUAUAGUUCUAUACUUGUAUGAAAUAUAUACCGUUUUGUUGGAGUUCGUGUUGCUCGGUCUUUAGUUCUUUAUGUUACGUUUUGUGUACUAUUGUAUUGUAUUUGUCUUUUAUAUUCGGGUGCGUGCGGAGAUCGUCAAGCUAGAAAACGGUUGACAUUUUCUUCAUUAUGAACUAGAACUAUUUUCGACCUUGGUGCCUUAUUUUUGUUAAAAUCUAAACACUGCGACGUGUUUUCAAAAUCUUUGUUCCCAUAAAACUUCAUUUCAUCAAGGUCUCUUCUCAGAAUAUCAGCCAUCUGUCUGGCACAGGAUAACAAUUCAAUAUUUAAGUAAAUUUAAGUUGUGUGGUAAUUCUUAGUACAUUUGGGUAAAUUAAUCUUAUCUUUGUGCCACAUAAGCAUCUCUAUAAUUCAACACAUCCCUG
This 851-nucleotide long non-coding RNA is filed under the name Mytilus galloprovincialis (Mediterranean mussel). Lineage: Eukaryota; Metazoa; Mollusca; Bivalvia; Mytilida; Mytilidae. The record is from RNAcentral.